This 60-nucleotide microRNA precursor is filed under the name Mus musculus (house mouse). Its description in RNAcentral is "Mmu-Mir-7647_pre stem-loop". The record is from RNAcentral. Lineage: Eukaryota; Metazoa; Chordata; Mammalia; Rodentia; Muridae.
AACUACCACCUCCUGGCCUUUUUUUUAAAAAGCACCAAAAGUCCAGGAGGUGGUAGUACA